RNAcentral lists this ribosomal RNA (253 nucleotides) under uncultured bacterium. RNAcentral's name for it is "partial 16S ribosomal RNA". It matches the Rfam family "Bacterial small subunit ribosomal RNA", at positions 524 to 776 of the family's 1533-position model. The record is from RNAcentral.
UACGGGGGGGGCAAGCGUUGUUCGGAAUUACUGGGCGUAAAGGGCUCGUAGGCGGCCAACUAAGUCAGACGUGAAAUCCCUCGGCUUAACCGGGGAACUGCGUCUGAUACUGGAUGGCUUGAAUCCGGGAGAGGGAUGCGGAAUUCCAGGUGUAGCGGUGAAAUGCGUAGAUAUCUGGAGGAACACCGGUGGCGAAGGCGGCAUCCUGGACCGGCCCUGACACUGAGGAGCGAAAGCCAGGGGAGCAAACGGG